AGUACCGUGAGGGAAAGGUGAAAAGAACCCCGGGAGGGGAGUGAAAUAGAACCUGAAACCGUGUGCCUACAACCGCUCAGAGCCCCUUAUGAGGGUGAUGAGGUGCUUUUUGUAGAACGAGCCAACGAGUUACGGUAUGUAGCAAGGUUAAGUACUUAAGGUACGGAGCCGAAGGGAAACCGAGUCUGAAUAGGGCGACUAGUUGCAUGCCGUAGACCCGAAACCGGGUGACCUAUCCAUGGCCAGGUUGAAGCGAGGGUAAAACCUCGUGGAGGACCGAACCACGUUGCUGUUGAAAAAGCAUGGGAUGAGCUGUGGAUAGCGGAGAAAUUCCAAUCGAACCCGGAGAUAGCUGGUUCUCUCCGAAAUAGCUUUAGGGCUAGCGUCGAGUAUGAGUAGUGGAGGUAGAGCACUGAAUGGGCUAGGGGGCAUAGCGCUUACCGAACCUUAUCAAACUCCGAAUGCCACAUACUUUGAGCUCGGCAGUCAGACUACGAAUGAUAAGAUCCGUGGUCAAAAGGGAAACAGCCCAGAUCGUCAGCUAAGGUCCCAAAGUGUAAGUUAAGUGGGAAAGGAUGUGAGAUUUCUAAGACAACUAGGAUGUUGGCUUAGAAGCAGCCAUUCAUUAAAAGAGUGCGUAAUAGCUCACUAGUCGAGAGAUCUUGCGCCGAAAAUGUAACGGGGCUAAACUUACCACCGAAGCUACGGGCUUGAACUUAGUUCAAGCGGUAGGAGAGCGUCGUAACCGGGCUGAAGUCGUACCGUAAGGAGCGGUGGACUGGUUACGAGUGAGAAUGUUGGCAUCAGUAGCGAGAUGUGGGUGAGAAUCCCACAGGCCGAAAACCUAAGGUUUCCUCAGGAAGGUUCGUCCGCUGAGGGUUAGUCGGGACCUAAGCCGAGGCCGAAAGGCGUAGGUGAUGGACAACUGGUUGAUAUUCCAGUACCACUACCAUCGUUAUUAUCGAUGGCGUGACGCAGGAGGAUAGUGUGUGCUAGCUAUUGGAUGCUAGUCUAAGCGUUUAGGCAGUGAGAGUAGGCAAAUCCGCUCUCAUAAUGCUGAGGCGUGAUGGGGAAGGUUCUACGGAACCGAAGUACAUGAUUCCACGCUGCCAAGAAAAGCGUCUAGAGAGAGAAGUAGUGCCCGUACCGCAAACCGACACAGGUAGGUGAGGAGAGAAUCCUAAGGCCGGCGGAAGAAUUACAGUUAAGGAACUCGGCAAAUUGACCCCGUAAGUUCGCGAGAAGGGGUGCCUACGAGAGUAGGCCGCAGAGAAUAGGCCCAAGCAACUGUUUAGCAAAAACACAGGUCUCUGCUAAAGCGUAAGCUGAUGUAUAGGGGCUGACGCCUGCCCGGUGCUGGAAGGUUAAGGGGAACACUUAGCGCAAGCGAAGGUGUGAACUUAAGCCCCAGUAAACGGCGGCCGUAACUAUAACGGUCCUAAGGUAGCGAAAUUCCUUGUCAGGUAAGUUCUGACCCGCACGAAUGGCGUAAUGACUUGGGCACUGUCUCAACUGUAAAUCCGGCGAAGUUGUAGUGCGAGUGAAGAUGCUCGCUACCCGCGAUUGGACGGAAAGACCCCGUAGAGCUUUACUGUAGCUUAGCAUUGAGUUUUGGUAUUGUCUGUACAGGAUAGGUGGGAGACUAGGAAACCAGGGCGUCAGCCUUGGUGGAGUCAACCUUGGGAUACCACCCUGACAGUACUGAAAUUCUAACUGGCGGCCAUGAAUCUGGUCACAGGACAUUGUUAGGUGGGCAGUUUGACUGGGGCGGUCGCCUCCUAAAAAGUAACGGAGGCGCCCAAAGGUUCCCUCAGAACGGUCGGAAAUCGUUCGAAGAGUGCAAAGGCAGAAGGGAGCCUGACUGCGACACCCACAAGUGGAGCAGGGACGAAAGUCGGGCUUAGUGAUCCGGUGGUACCUCGUGGGAGGGCCAUCGCUCAACGGAUAAAAGCUACCUCGGGGAUAACAGGCUGAUCUCCCCCAAGAGUCCACAUCGACGGGGAGGUUUGGCACCUCGAUGUCGGCUCGUCGCAUCCUGGGGCUGAAGUAGGUCCCAAGGGUUGGGCUGUUCGCCCAUUAAAGCGGCACGCGAGCUGGGUUCAGAACGUCGUGAGACAGUUCGGUCCCUAUCCGUCGCGGGCGUAGGAAAUUUGAGAGGAGCUGUCCUUAGUACGAGAGGACCGGGAUGGACUGACCUCUGGUGUACCAGUUGUUCCGCCAGGAGCACAGCUGGGUAGCUAAGUCGGGAAUGGAUAAACGCUGAAAGCAUCUAAGCGUGAAGCCAACCUCAAGAUGAGAUUUCCCAUAGCGUAAGCUAGUAAGAUCCCUUGAAGAACACAAGGUUGAUAGGUCGGGGGUGUAAGCAUGGUAACAUGUUCAGCUGACCGAUACUAAUAGAUCGAGGGCUUGACCAA
Molecule: ribosomal RNA, 2414 nt
Filed under: Enterococcus faecalis
Lineage: Bacteria; Bacillati; Bacillota; Bacilli; Lactobacillales; Enterococcaceae
Description: partial 23S ribosomal RNA
Rfam family: Bacterial large subunit ribosomal RNA
Source: RNAcentral